RNAcentral lists this ribosomal RNA (1538 nucleotides) under Salmonella enterica subsp. enterica serovar Senftenberg. Its description in RNAcentral is "bacterial SSU rRNA". It matches the Rfam family "Bacterial small subunit ribosomal RNA". The record is from RNAcentral. Lineage: Bacteria; Pseudomonadati; Pseudomonadota; Gammaproteobacteria; Enterobacterales; Enterobacteriaceae.
UUGAAGAGUUUGAUCAUGGCUCAGAUUGAACGCUGGCGGCAGGCCUAACACAUGCAAGUCGAACGGUAACAGGAAGCAGCUUGCUGCUUUGCUGACGAGUGGCGGACGGGUGAGUAAUGUCUGGGAAACUGCCUGAUGGAGGGGGAUAACUACUGGAAACGGUGGCUAAUACCGCAUAACGUCGCAAGACCAAAGAGGGGGACCUUCGGGCCUCUUGCCAUCAGAUGUGCCCAGAUGGGAUUAGCUGGUUGGUGAGGUAACGGCUCACCAAGGCGACGAUCCCUAGCUGGUCUGAGAGGAUGACCAGCCACACUGGAACUGAGACACGGUCCAGACUCCUACGGGAGGCAGCAGUGGGGAAUAUUGCACAAUGGGCGCAAGCCUGAUGCAGCCAUGCCGCGUGUAUGAAGAAGGCCUUCGGGUUGUAAAGUACUUUCAGCGGGGAGGAAGGUGUUGUGGUUAAUAACCGCAGCAAUUGACGUUACCCGCAGAAGAAGCACCGGCUAACUCCGUGCCAGCAGCCGCGGUAAUACGGAGGGUGCAAGCGUUAAUCGGAAUUACUGGGCGUAAAGCGCACGCAGGCGGUCUGUCAAGUCGGAUGUGAAAUCCCCGGGCUCAACCUGGGAACUGCAUUCGAAACUGGCAGGCUUGAGUCUUGUAGAGGGGGGUAGAAUUCCAGGUGUAGCGGUGAAAUGCGUAGAGAUCUGGAGGAAUACCGGUGGCGAAGGCGGCCCCCUGGACAAAGACUGACGCUCAGGUGCGAAAGCGUGGGGAGCAAACAGGAUUAGAUACCCUGGUAGUCCACGCCGUAAACGAUGUCUACUUGGAGGUUGUGCCCUUGAGGCGUGGCUUCCGGAGCUAACGCGUUAAGUAGACCGCCUGGGGAGUACGGCCGCAAGGUUAAAACUCAAAUGAAUUGACGGGGGCCCGCACAAGCGGUGGAGCAUGUGGUUUAAUUCGAUGCAACGCGAAGAACCUUACCUGGUCUUGACAUCCACAGAACUUUCCAGAGAUGGACUUGUGCCUUCGGGAACUGUGAGACAGGUGCUGCAUGGCUGUCGUCAGCUCGUGUUGUGAAAUGUUGGGUUAAGUCCCGCAACGAGCGCAACCCUUAUCCUUUGUUGCCAGCGGUUAGGCCGGGAACUCAAAGGAGACUGCCAGUGAUAAACUGGAGGAAGGUGGGGAUGACGUCAAGUCAUCAUGGCCCUUACGACCAGGGCUACACACGUGCUACAAUGGCGCAUACAAAGAGAAGCGACCUCGCGAGAGCAAGCGGACCUCAUAAAGUGCGUCGUAGUCCGGAUUGGAGUCUGCAACUCGACUCCAUGAAGUCGGAAUCGCUAGUAAUCGUGGAUCAGAAUGCCACGGUGAAUACGUUCCCGGGCCUUGUACACACCGCCCGUCACACCAUGGGAGUGGGUUGCAAAAGAAGUAGGUAGCUUAACCUUCGGGAGGGCGCUUACCACUUUGUGAUUCAUGACUGGGGUGAAGUCGUAACAAGGUAACCGUAGGGGAACCUGCGGUUGGAUCACCUCCUU